Molecule: transfer RNA, 77 nt
Filed under: Alphaproteobacteria bacterium
Lineage: Bacteria; Pseudomonadati; Pseudomonadota; Alphaproteobacteria
Description: tRNA-Arg
Rfam family: tRNA
About the family: Transfer RNA (tRNA) molecules are approximately 80 nucleotides in length. Their secondary structure includes four short double-helical elements and three loops (D, anti-codon, and T loops).
Source: RNAcentral
GGCCCCGUAGCUCAACAGGAUAGAGCGCGAGAUUUCUAAUCUUGAGGUUGCAGGUUCAAGUCCUGCCGGGGUCACCA